ACGAACGCUGGCGGCGUGCCUAAUACAUGCAAGUCGAGCGGAAUGAUGAAGAAGCUUGCUUUCUUCUGAUUUUAGCGGCGGACGGGUGAGUAACACGUGGGCAACCUACCUUGUAGAUUGGGAUAACUCCGGGAAACCGGGGCUAAUACCGAAUAAUCCAUUUUGCUUCAUGGCGAGAUGUUAAAAGGCGGCUUCGGCUGUCACUACGAGAUGGGCCCGCGGCGCAUUAGCUAGUUGGUAGGGUAAUGGCCUACCAAGGCGACGAUGCGUAGCCGACCUGAGAGGGUGAUCGGCCACACUGGGACUGAGACACGGCCCAGACUCCUACGGGAGGCAGCAGUAGGGAAUCUUCCACAAUGGACGAAAGUCUGAUGGAGCAACGCCGCGUGAGUGAAGAAGGUUUUCGGAUCGUAAAACUCUGUUGUAAGGGAAGAACACGUACGAGAGUAACUGCUCGUACCUUGACGGUACCUUAUUAGAAAGCCACGGCUAACUACGUG
This 500-nucleotide ribosomal RNA is filed under the name uncultured bacterium. RNAcentral describes it as "bacterial SSU rRNA". It matches the Rfam family "Bacterial small subunit ribosomal RNA", at positions 29 to 507 of the family's 1533-position model. The record is from RNAcentral.